GCUGAGGUACAGUGCGCAGGCUCUCCCAGCGCUGUUCUCCAGCAUCAAACCCCAGAGCAACGCACAGACAGAGCUGCAGUGCUAUUCUGAGAGAGUUAGCUGCCUCAACCCACGCACAGAAUCUGAGAAAGAGAGAAAGCAAGAACGAGGGAGAAAGAGGAGAAGGAGGGAGCAAGAAUAAAGGAGAGAGGCAGAGACCAACUACAAGGAGGUUUACAAAAUGCCUACUAUAGUCUCUCACAUGCACACACACACACACACACACACACACAGCUACUGAUUCUUCCCCUUGAACUGUUCUAAGAGCAGCUGAUUUACAGUUCUGAUUAGCACUUCUUGUGUGUGGACUGUAUUUGCAGAUCUGUUUGCCGGUGCUGUUUGUGUGAUGUGCUGUGUUGU
RNAcentral lists this long non-coding RNA (399 nucleotides) under Mastacembelus armatus (zig-zag eel). RNAcentral's name for it is "lncRNA (ENSMAMG00000027761.1)". Lineage: Eukaryota; Metazoa; Chordata; Actinopteri; Synbranchiformes; Mastacembelidae. The record is from RNAcentral.